Molecule: long non-coding RNA, 291 nt
Filed under: Oryza brachyantha (malo sina)
Lineage: Eukaryota; Viridiplantae; Streptophyta; Magnoliopsida; Poales; Poaceae
Description: long non-coding RNA (OBRA_LNC002746)
Source: RNAcentral
GCACUGCACUACUGCACGCCUGCACUGCACUGAGGCAAGAGUAAUGGAGAUCGACCAGAGGAGAAGAACUCGCCAUCCCCUCAUGCCAUCAUCGCCAUCGCCAUAGUCACCAGCCUUCUUCUUCUCUCUCUGUGUGUGAAUGUGGCUAGAGUGAUGUUCUUCUUCUUCCGUGAUUCAGUUGACCUCGACUGUGGAACAGUGGCAGCCAGUUAGCUCUGCCCCUGCUGCAAGUCAAAGAUCAGCAAUUUUCUAUGGUGAGUGGCACUGCUCCUAACAUUCUUUGUCCAAGGG